GGGGCAAGUCCCUUAACCUCUCUGGGCCUCAGUUUCCUCAUCUGUUAAAUGGGGACCACGUAGGGUUGUGUUUUUUUUAAGGAGUAAAUUGGUAGCAUGCAUAAAGGAGUUACAACCAGUGUUGGUGGAGAGUGAAGAGGCAACGAGUGUUGUCUGGUGUCAUCACGCACAGUUACCGUUGAUUUUAUUACUUCUGCUGCCACUUCAUUUCAGAAGCACAGUGCUUAGCACCCAGGCUACCGGAAGUCAGUAUUUCUGUUAUUUCUUCUCCCUCCUUUCUCUGCUGCUGCUGCUGCUAAGUCGCUUCAGUCGUGUCCGAUUCUGUGCAACCCCAUAGACGGCAGCCCACCAGGCUUCCCCCUCCCUGGGAUUCUCCAGGCAAGAACACUGGAGUGGGUUGCCAUUUCCUUCUCCAAUGCAUGAAAGUGAAAAGUGAAAGUGAAGUCGCUCAGUCGUGUCUGACUCUAGCGACCCCAUGGACUGCAGCUUACCAGGCUCCUCCGUCCAUGGGAUUUUCUAGGCAAAAGUACUGGGGUGGGGUGCCAUUGCCUUCUCCUUUCUCUAAGUAACUCCAAAGAAGGCAGUUACCGAUUCAAAGGACGCAAGCACACAAGUGCACCCACGUGUUCCUAAUACACAGCACGCUGCCGCCGCCAUCUUCUUUCCAGCAGGCGGCCUCCAGCACUGACUUCCCUGGCUUCCACUCCACCCAACCCCUCCUGAGAAAGGCUCAGGGAAGUUCGCUUUUUCUCCAUCCCACCUGCUUAUCCAAGCACCAUCCUCUCGCGUCCGGAUGAGAGGGAUAAGACCACUUAACCAGUUAAGUGAUAGCCCCCAGCCUCUUAGCCACUGGGACGGCGGAGCCACUGAGAGCGAGCCCGGGAUCCCCAGCCCGGGGUUCAGGGUAAACAAGAUUACCUGGGGUGGCAGGAACUGGUGGAGACAGAAGGUGUUUCCAAACUUAAUCUGAAAUUAAUUAGAAAACGAAACAAGCCAAAGGACAAACAUCUGUGAGCAGAUGAUGUGCAGAGGCAAACAAAUUGGACACAUCACAUUCCGCUUGAGCUGGGAGUAGGAUCCUGCCAGGCUACAUAGGGAGUAGCCGGAGAGGCUUUCAGGGGGAGCAGUCUCAGUGUUUACUUCUCAGGAUCAAAUGACGGAGCAGCGCCAAGCUCCAAAGAUGCGGUCAGGGAGAGGGCUCUGCAGGGGAGCUGUGCGUCGGGGAGAUGAUCAUAAAAACUCAUCAGAACACACGCUGUUCAGGACCUGGGAGUGAGGAGCAGAGUGGACAUGGCAGCUCCCCUGACCAUGGGAGCAGGCUUCCUCGUGCACCCGGCAGGCUGGAAGGGGUGCCGGCACUGAGGUCCCGGAAGCACCCCUCCACUCCGUGUGCCCCCAGGUGGACUGCUCAGACACGGCCCAUGGAGGAGCCCACGGUCCCGGCUGAGCGCGUGCACACGCGGGACCUGCCACUUUGGGCAUCCUCACUGGCCUCCUCACCACCCCCUCCCUUUCCCCUUCUCCACCUGCUUCCUGGGACCAGUCCCCAAACAAGCUGCUAGCACCCCAAAUCUGACCCGAGCUGGGGGCUGCUGCUAGGAAUGCAGACAGACAAGGAUGUUGGUGGCAAGCAGACGGGAUGGGGGUUGGUAACCUGGAUGAGUGAGAGACACUGUGCACAGACCUGUCCCAAAGCCGGAGAGAUCCCUACGGGGACUCUGGUGGUUCCGACUCCCGUUUGGAUCAACUGCCUGGUGACCUCAUCACCGCCGUUCCCCAGAUCCACGUCAGCCCUGAAGUCGGGGACCCCCGGCACACAGGAAGCCACACUCGGAGCAUUACCUUAGCUCUGACCCCAGCAGACACCAAGCAACCCUGCCCUCUUCUUUCUAAAGAGGGAGCAGACACCCAAGGAUUCUUACCCGAGUUAACAGCUCCCCUCGCCUUGUGCAUUGCGGUCACUUGUAUCUCAGCAAGAAUGAGCUGGAAGUCUGCCGAUGGAGGUGGGAGAGAAAAUGGGUCCUGGGUCCUUCUGGUCCUAGGGCAGGGGGGGCCCGGCUCCAAUGCCCUCCGGCCCAGCAUUUCAGGUGUCCGUGUCACCUGCCUGAGCCCCUGCUACUCCACUCGCCUGUUGGUGAGGGACAGAAAAGCUCCCUCACUAGGCUACUGUGAGGACUAUGGGAGAUGGUCAGCACCAACUUGUGGAAUUACAACCCAGAGACAGAGAUGACAGAGCACAUCAACUACACUGAGUAGAAGUUGCUCUCUCUUCCAUAAUGUUUCCUCCAUUGUUUUUUGCAUCAUAUCAAGCACAGGAAGAUACACCUGGAUCUAACACAUGUUGUAAAUCAACUAUACUCCCCUCCCCCCUAAAAAAAAAAAAAAAAAACCAUGAGGGUAGGAGGGGCUUUGUGGGAGCCCUCCUUUCCUCUCCUCCCACCCCUCCACCUCAUCACAGAUGCUAUUGGCGAGCAUCUGUUAUAAGCCACAUGCCCGCUCAGCGUUUUCUCACUAAAUGCUCCCCACACCACCCUCAAAAGACGAGAGCUGCCUCCCGUCCCUGCCCCGCCCCAAGAACGCUCGGCGAAGAUGGACAUGCGCCACACCUGAGCUGCCCAAGACAGCAACACCAGCGACCAGCUGCUCAGUGUUUGGCCUGUGCCUCGUGCAACCAACGGGCUUUUACUUAAUUUUAAUUCCUUAUGCACAACUAGCCACAGGUGAAACUGGUCACCAUGUUGGACAGCAGAGAUACACACGGGGGUGAGAAAGAAAAGCAAACUGAAGUCUAAAGGAGUUCGGCAACUGCCCAAGGCCACGGACCUGGAGGAAGGUGGAGGUCAGAGCUGCUCCCACUCUCCGCAGCUUCCCGUGUGCGUCUCCUAAAGCGAACGGCCAAGCUGGCCGUGGACUUACUCAGACACAGGAGACGAGAUCUGAAAGUCAAGACGGGCCGGGUGAAAAAGACACUCAGCAACCAGAGAACGGGCUCAGAGAGACAAGGAAAUGAAUAUUCAAAGAAGAUAAUGGUGGUGGAAACGCUCUGUAAACUGUGAAGUGCUGUCUCAGGGUGGGGGUUAUUAAUAAUCCCCUUUGGCACUGACUCCACGGCAAAGAUUUCUUGUCCCUCUCCAUAUCCUGCUGCUCUGUUAAUCGUUAAUUAAAGCUUAAGGGAUUUGGGAAUACAGGCCUCUGAAAUUUGGACUAAACCCUCCAUGUUAUUGAAAAGAAAAAAAAAAUAAAUGAAGAAUUUUGGAUAAUUAGCUUUUCUUUCCCUAAAUGCUUUCUGGGUGUCAUUACAAACCAAGUGCCAGGCUAAUAUACCUUGUGUUGUGAAUGCCUCACAAUUCCUGCUAAUUGAAUUAAACCCAAUUCUCUGCAAAUAAACUCUUGGUUGUUCUUUAAUGGCAAAUAAGGAAUAGAGCUGUUUCUUUCUGGAACGGGUCAUUACAAGGCCCUAAUUACCAGCAUCUCAACGUGUUAACGCCAGCCUAACGCAAGGCGCCUUUAUGUCGGCUCCUGACAAUGACGGCUCUGUCAAGAUCAAAGUUGUGGCUUGCCCUUGGAAACUUCUCCCUGUUUUUCCUCCACUUCAAAAUAUUUAAUAACGACUAAUCAAAUUUCUAAGACGGCAGAGAAAGGACAAGAGGACAGAAGUCCCCCUUUUUAAAAAAUAUAUAUAUAUAUUCAGGACAAAUAUUUCAAAACUGACACACUGCUCAUGCCUCCUCCCUCCCCUUUCUUUCUCCCUUGGACACAGCACACGUCGUGAAGUUGCCAAUGAGUGAAGGAAUCUGUGCCUCUGGAGCUGCAUGCCAGCCCAAGGUGAACGGAGGAGCUGCACAGAGUAAUCGGAUGUCAGAGAAGAAGAUGGAUUCCUCGGUGCGUGCGUGGCCCAACACCUUUAUCAAUAAUGCAAUGCCAAUUACUUUGGGGACCAGCCUUGGCUCUUGUGGGAUGAGAAACUUUAUUCCAGGGCUCUGAGAACAGCAUCUGUAAUCAGCCACCUUGCCCAGACUUUAAAAUGCAGCACACAUCAGUGCUUACUGGCAGUUCUGCCCUGAUGUGUGGGUGGAGGUUUCACGGCUGAGAUUUCAGAGUCGGGUGGAUGAAAUUUUCACACGGGUGUGACUGACCUUUGUGUGCACUUGCCGCUCCCUGGUGGGUGAUAGCUGGCUCUCUGAAGUGCUAAGCCCUCAUCCUAGGAGAAUCCUGUGGAUGGAGGAGCCUGGUGGGCUACAGUCCAUGGAGUGGCAAGGAGCUGGAUACAACUGAGGGACUGAGCGUGCACACACACAUCCCAUGAAGAGCCUCAGACUCUCAGCUGUCUGUUGUAGAGGAACAGACCAAUUUGAGAUUACCUGGGCAACCCAGAAAUUGGGUUCCCACACUUUACCCUCCAAAGCCUCUCCUUUGCCUCCCUCAGUGCCCAAAUGCCUCAUUCUUUCAAGAUGUUCUGUUUGCCUCCCUAGGAAAGCUCUUCUGAUCUUCUCUGACAGCAAAACUCUUAAAUUCAGCCUCCAGAACCCAGGGCAGACACCCCCAUCAGAGCCUGCCAGUUGCUUCAGCUUCUCCUGUUGCAUUUUUCUCUCCUGCUUGUGCCUGAGGGCAACACAGCAGAGUGGAUGCUUGGGCUCUGAUUGGGGUUGAAU
Molecule: long non-coding RNA, 4652 nt
Organism: Bos taurus (domestic cattle)
Lineage: Eukaryota; Metazoa; Chordata; Mammalia; Artiodactyla; Bovidae
Source: Ensembl